UUUGUUAUGUGUCUAAGCUCUGUUACCACAAAAAAUAUAUUUAAUUUAGUCCUUAUAGUAGAUUCUAUCACACGUUUGAAAGUUGUCCAACGGUCGAAUAAAUAUGUUGUAGUUUGACCUAGAUAAAUAUAAGACUGGGAAAAUAAAUAUAAAAAAAAUUCCGACAUCUUAAAAGUAGAUACCUAUAUUCGCAAUGGAAAUAUUAUUUUAAAAAUCGGGAUUAUUUAAUUUGAUACAACUGAAUAAAAUGGCUCUAGUCGAUCUAUUUAAAAAAAACAUCAACCAAAUAUACGAGUUUGGCUACUGCCAGUGCAGUACUGCAUCCGUCGUGAUCCGAAUAAAGCUUAUAUUGUCCACAUUGAUUAAACUAUCAUUAUUAAAAUCAUUUUGAUUCUUCUAUAUUUGUACGUACUUUUUUACAACUCUGAACCCGGAAGCGAGGUAUUCUGGGAAGGUUAUUUUAAAGAUGGCGGGCGUUUUGGAAUUUAUUCGUGGAGUGCAUGAGAAAUGUUCAAUAUACAGCUACUUGGAUUACACAAACAGAGAAAGAUAGAUUAUACCAGUUAAAUUGAGAGGUUUUAUUUGAAAAUCCUAUAUUUGAGCACCAUUCAUGGCAGUCAUGUCGAGGAAGUUAUAAAAAGGUUGAUAAGGGCUUUGUAUAUGGAAGCUAGAUGACAUUACUACUUAUCAUACAUCAUACACAACUAUUUGUCACAUACCGACUUGGGAUUGAAACCAAGCGACUGAACUCAAUAACACUCCUCAAUAACACUCGUCUAUGAAACCACCCAGAUGGCAAAGAAAUAAAGACUUUUUAAUUAUGUACCGAACUCAUAUAUGUAUCUAUGGUAGCACAAAAUUCACCAGAAUGUAGGCCAAAGCUUUACUUUACAAGCAGUAGGCUUAAAAUAUUUUCCGUCUGAUCUUGUAAGAGUCAAUUGUUUAUGAAUAGUUUGCCUCAAGCAGAUAUCCUGUCACUGUGUCACAGUAUCAUAUAACCGCUCUUUGGCUUGAACUGAGUUGUAUCAGUGAGUUGAAAAUCUACUGCAGCCAGUAUAUUAGAUUCAAAAUUCUAACGAGCUUUCGUCUAACU
Molecule: long non-coding RNA, 1093 nt
Organism: Patella vulgata (common limpet)
Lineage: Eukaryota; Metazoa; Mollusca; Gastropoda; Patellidae
Exons: 3
Source: RefSeq, a predicted model, not a curated record